CUCAAGCUUGGGACAGUUCUGCCAGCUUCACUUAUCAUUCUGGGCUGGGCUAAGUUCCCUCUCUCUUCACUAGUUCUCUUCUCUCUUUCGCCCUCUCCUUGCAUUUGAGUGUAAUGAGAGCCAUGCGGUGAGUUGUGGAUGAGAGACGUCAGAUUAAAGAAGAGUGAGAGGAGCAGGACAGAAAACACACUCACUGAGCUGCUGGGAGUUUCAGCGCUGCAUGCAAGAACGUAGAAUUGGAGUGCCGGGACUGGGGGCUGCGCUGCUCCAUUGCACUCUCUCUCUUUCUUUCUCUCUCUCUCUCUGUCUCUCUGUCCUCUGGGUCUAAACGUGCAGCAGAGGAAUUGCAGCGGCAGAUAUGAACCUCUCACUUCCCCAGACUUCACAAGCAUGAAAUGGACACAAGACAAUUUUACGGGCGGAAGGAACAUGAUCGAGCAGUUAGGGUCAUUCCUUCUGACAGUGAGGACAGUGAGCUUGUGGAGAGUGAAAAUGAGGACAGUGAGGUUGAGGAGAGUCAUGAAGACUGGAUCCCUGAAUCAGGUUUGAGAGACAGUUUGGAGGUCAGGGGUCAGUAAGGGGUCAGUCAGCAAAGUAUCAUGUGUGUGUGUGUGCGUACAUGUGUGUGUGUUUGUUUGCAUGCAUGUCAUUGUAUGAUGAAGGGUAUAUGACAAACAUGCUUCCUGCUGUCUUUUUUAGGAGAAUGCCUG
Cyprinus carpio carpio is the source of this 710-nucleotide long non-coding RNA. Lineage: Eukaryota; Metazoa; Chordata; Actinopteri; Cypriniformes; Cyprinidae. The record is from Ensembl.